GACAACCAUAUCACGUUGAAACAUUGUUUCUCGGACGAACACCGAAGUUAAGCAACGUCGAACCUGGUCAGUACCUAGAUGGGUGAUACCGUGGGAAUACCAGGUGCU
This is a non-coding RNA of Acanthosepion pharaonis, 108 nucleotides long. The record is from the annotation of a GenBank genome assembly. NCBI's taxonomy places the organism in Eukaryota, Metazoa, Mollusca, Cephalopoda, Sepiida, Sepiidae.